This 254-nucleotide ribosomal RNA is filed under the name uncultured bacterium. RNAcentral describes it as "partial 16S ribosomal RNA". It matches the Rfam family "Bacterial small subunit ribosomal RNA", at positions 524 to 776 of the family's 1533-position model. The record is from RNAcentral.
UACAGAGGUGGCAAGCGUUGUUCGGAAUUACUGGGCGUAAAGGGCGCGUAGGCGGCCAGCACAAGUCAGUUGUGAAAUCUCCGAGCUUAACUCGGAAAGGUCAACUGAUACUGUGCGGCUAGAGUGCGGGAGGGGCAACUGGAAUUCUUGGUGUAGCGGUGAAAUGCGUAGAUAUCAAGAGGAACACCUGCGGCGAAGGCGGGUUGCUGGGCCGACACUGACGCUGAUGCGCGAAAGCCAGGGGAGCGAACGGG